GCGGGAGUAGCUCAGUUGGUAGAGCGUCAGCCUUCCAAGCUGAGGGUCGCGAGUUCGAGUCUCGUCUCCCGCUCUA
RNAcentral lists this transfer RNA (76 nucleotides) under Bacteroidetes bacterium RIFCSPHIGHO2_02_FULL_44_7. Its description in RNAcentral is "tRNA-Gly". It matches the Rfam family "tRNA". From Rfam's summary of the family: Transfer RNA (tRNA) molecules are approximately 80 nucleotides in length. Their secondary structure includes four short double-helical elements and three loops (D, anti-codon, and T loops). Further hydrogen bonds mediate the characteristic L-shaped molecular structure. tRNAs have two regions of fundamental functional importance: the anti-codon, which is responsible for specific mRNA codon recognition, and the 3' end, to which the tRNAs corresponding amino acid is attached (by aminoacyl-tRNA synthetases). tRNAs cope with the degeneracy of the genetic code in two manners: having more than one tRNA (with a specific anti-codon) for a particular amino acid; and 'wobble' base-pairing, i.e. permitting non-standard base-pairing at the 3rd anti-codon position. Lineage: Bacteria; Pseudomonadati; Bacteroidota. The record is from RNAcentral. RNAcentral also lists the same sequence under 1 other name.